Molecule: ribosomal RNA, 484 nt
Filed under: uncultured bacterium
Lineage: Bacteria
Description: partial 16S ribosomal RNA
Rfam family: Bacterial small subunit ribosomal RNA
Source: RNAcentral
AUUGAACGCUGGCGGCAGGCCUAACACAUGCAAGUCGAGCGGAUGAAGGGAGCUUGCUCCUGGAUUCAGCGGCGGACGGGUGAGUAGUGCCUAGGAAUCUGCCUGGUAGUGGGGGAUAACGUCCGGAAACGGGCGCUAAUACCGCAUACGUCCUGAGGGAGAAAGUGGGGGAUCUUCGGACCUCACGCUAUCAGAUGAGCCUAGGUCGGAUUAGCUAGUUGGUGGGGUAAAGACCUACCAAGGCGACGAUCCGUAACUGGUCUGAGAGGAUGAUCAGUCACACUGGAACUGAGACACGGUCCAGACUCCUACGGGAGGCAGCAGUGGGGAAUAUUGGACAAUGGGCGAAAGCCUGAUCCAGCCAUGCCGCGUGUGUGAAGAAGGUCUUCGGAUUGUAAAGCACUUUAAGUUGGGAGGAAGGGCAGUAAGUUAAUACCUUGCUGUUUUGACGUUACCAACAGAAUAAGCACCGGCUAACUUCGUG